UGCCAGCCGCCGCGGUAAUACGAAGGGGGCUAGCGUUGUUCGGAUUUACUGGGCGUAAAGCGCACGUAGGCGGUUUGUUAAGUCAGAGGUGAAAUCCCGGAGCUCAACUCCGGAACUGCCUUUGAUACUGGCAAGCUAGAGUCCGGAAGAGGUAAGUGGAACUCCUAGUGUAGAGGUGGAAUUCGUAGAUAUUAGGAAGAACACCAGUGGCGAAGGCGGCUUACUGGUCCGGAACUGACGCUGAGGUGCGAAAGCGUGGGGAGCAAACAGGAUUAGAUA
RNAcentral lists this ribosomal RNA (279 nucleotides) under uncultured bacterium. Its description in RNAcentral is "partial 16S ribosomal RNA". It matches the Rfam family "Bacterial small subunit ribosomal RNA", at positions 506 to 784 of the family's 1533-position model. The record is from RNAcentral.